GUUGCAAAGCAAGAGGCAUUGCACAGGUGAGUGCUGUAUCACAUCUGUGUCAUUAAGCAGCAGAGAGAAGGGAGGCUAUGUCUAUACUCAGUGUUCUGACCCAUGAAUGUUUGAAUGAUUAAUAGUCUAACACU
Molecule: small nucleolar RNA, 134 nt
Organism: Cynocephalus volans (Philippine flying lemur)
Lineage: Eukaryota; Metazoa; Chordata; Mammalia; Dermoptera; Cynocephalidae
Product: small nucleolar RNA SNORA17
Exons: 1
Source: RefSeq, a predicted model, not a curated record